This 915-nucleotide ribosomal RNA is filed under the name Bacillus velezensis. Its description in RNAcentral is "bacterial SSU rRNA". It matches the Rfam family "Bacterial small subunit ribosomal RNA", at positions 1 to 888 of the family's 1533-position model. Lineage: Bacteria; Bacillati; Bacillota; Bacilli; Caryophanales; Bacillaceae. The record is from RNAcentral.
CCGCCGUUUUUUUUUUUUAUGGUUUUUUUUUCGUAGGACGAACGCUGGCGGCGUGCCUAAUACAUGCAAGUCGAGCGGACAGAUGGGAGCUUGCUCCCUGAUGUUAGCGGCGGACGGGUGAGUAACACGUGGGUAACCUGCCUGUAAGACUGGGAUAACUCCGGGAAACCGGGGCUAAUACCGGAUGGUUGUUUGAACCGCAUGGUUCAAACAUAAAAGGUGGCUUCGGCUACCACUUACAGAUGGACCCGCGGCGCAUUAGCUAGUUGGUGAGGUAACGGCUCACCAAGGCAACGAUGCGUAGCCGACCUGAGAGGGUGAUCGGCCACACUGGGACUGAGACACGGCCCAGACUCCUACGGGAGGCAGCAGUAGGGAAUCUUCCGCAAUGGACGAAAGUCUGACGGAGCAACGCCGCGUGAGUGAUGAAGGUUUUCGGAUCGUAAAGCUCUGUUGUUAGGGAAGAACAAGUACCGUUCGAAUAGGGCGGUACCUUGACGGUACCUAACCAGAAAGCCACGGCUAACUACGUGCCAGCAGCCGCGGUAAUACGUAGGUGGCAAGCGUUGUCCGGAAUUAUUGGGCGUAAAGGGCUCGCAGGCGGUUUCUUAAGUCUGAUGUGAAAGCCCCCGGCUCAACCGGGGAGGGUCAUUGGAAACUGGGGAACUUGAGUGCAGAAGAGGAGAGUGGAAUUCCACGUGUAGCGGUGAAAUGCGUAGAGAUGUGGAGGAACACCAGUGGCGAAGGCGACUCUCUGGUCUGUAACUGACGCUGAGGAGCGAAAGCGUGGGGAGCGAACAGGAUUAGAUACCCUGGUAGUCCACGCCGUAAACGAUGAGUGCUAAGUGUUAGGGGGUUUCCGCCCCUUAGUGCUGCAGCUAACGCAUAAGCACUCCGCAUGGAAGACUGCGGUUU